Carassius auratus (goldfish) is the source of this 464-nucleotide non-coding RNA. NCBI's taxonomy places the organism in Eukaryota, Metazoa, Chordata, Actinopteri, Cypriniformes, Cyprinidae. The record is from the annotation of a RefSeq genome assembly.
CAGCACAUGCUUCAGCGCUCCGAGUGUUUAUAGCGUUCAGACUCAACACUUUAUAACACACUGCUGUUUACCACGGUACAAAACCAACAAACACAAUGAAUCUCUUCAGCAGCUUCAUCUGGAUUCUGGCAGCUUUUAUUCCAGCAUCCAGAGGAAUCACUGUGACUCAGCCUGAAGCUGUGACUGUUUCUGAACGACAAGACGCCACGAUAGCGUGUAAAACUGAUCCUGGAAUAACUGGCUUGGGUUUAGCUUGGUAUCAGCAGAAACCUGGAGAAGCUCCUAAACUCAUCAUUUAUGAUGUAACCGAUCUCUAUGAUGAGAGUUUCAGUCGAUUCAGUGGGAAUGGAACAGAAGAGGGGACUGAUUUCACUCUGACCAUCAGUGGAGUCCAGACUGAAGAUGCUGGACAUUAUUACUGUCAGAGUUUUCAUGUCACCAGCAGCUGGGUGUUCACACAGUGA